This 27-nucleotide small RNA is filed under the name Bombyx mori (domestic silkworm). RNAcentral's name for it is "ovarian small RNA-7052". Lineage: Eukaryota; Metazoa; Arthropoda; Insecta; Lepidoptera; Bombycidae. The record is from RNAcentral.
UCAUCAGGUGGGCCUCGGGCGGUGACU